CGGACUAGAGGAUAGAACAGGUAGCUAUCGCACUGGAGACAUCCGGUGAGAUGCGGGAGUACCACCCCGCCUAGUCGA
RNAcentral lists this non-coding RNA (78 nucleotides) under unclassified sequences. RNAcentral describes it as "skipping-rope RNA". It matches the Rfam family "skipping-rope RNA". From Rfam's summary of the family: Firmicutes, Fusobacteria, AlphaProteobacteria, Spirochaetes. The record is from Rfam by way of RNAcentral.